Molecule: ribosomal RNA, 472 nt
Filed under: uncultured bacterium
Lineage: Bacteria
Description: partial 16S ribosomal RNA
Rfam family: Bacterial small subunit ribosomal RNA
Source: RNAcentral
GACGAACGCUGGCGGCGUGCUUAACACAUGCAAGUCGAACGAUGAACCCGGAGCUUGCUCUGGGGGAUUAGUGGCGAACGGGUGAGUAACACGUGAGUAACCUGCCAUGGACUCUGGGAUAAGCGUUGGAAACGACGUCUAAUACCGGAUAGGACCUUGGAUCGCAUGAUCUGGGGUGGAAAGUUUUUUCGGUCUGGGAUGGACUCGCGGCCUAUCAGCUUGUUGGUGAGGUAAUGGCUCACCAAGGCGUCGACGGGUAGCCGGCCUGAGAGGGUGACCGGCCACACUGGGACUGAGACACGGCCCAGACUCCUACGGGAGGCAGCAGUGGGGAAUAUUGCACAAUGGGCGAAAGCCUGAUGCAGCAACGCCGCGUGCGGGAUGACGGCCGUCGGGUUGUAAACCGCUUUUAGUAGGGAAGAAGGGCUUCGGCUUGACGGUACCUGCAGAAAAAGGACCGGCUAACUACGUG